GAUGCUCUUUCUAACUCUAAGUUGAUAUCAUGAGACAAAUAAGUCAUGAUCUCAUGAAAACCAGGCAGAAACCAAUAAUAAUGCACAGCCUCUCUGGGCUUCAGUCAUUAUUUUUGCAAAAUUCUGCUUUGGUGCCACUAUGGAUUUAAAAUCUCUGUACUAUUCUAGGACGUGGUCUUUUGUCUCAUGAAAUCAGCGCGACAUAUUUCCACACAGGAUUUCUCACAGCUUCAGUUCCAUGCUGAAAAUCAGUGGACAUGCCAAUUGACUCCAGCUGAAUCGCUGCCCAUUCAUUUAGCUCUGAUUCAAGAGGCUUCUAGCUUUUUUCCUCACAGUUUUGAGUCUGCCUUCUGCUCGCAUAUUCUUUUUGCCUGCGAUGACAUCAGAUGUGUGCAGCAACUGAGAGAGAAUCCUGGCUGUGAAUUACAAGGUGGUGUGAUUACGAAGGUAGAGGAGGCCAAAAUAAAGAAUAAAAGAGCUACAGAAUUGUUAUAAUUCUAAUACAUCAGAAAUUUUGGUGCAUGUGUUAUUUAGGGCCAUGAUGAAGAAAAUGUAAUUUGAUUGCAUUUUAAAUAAUUGUUGAAGUUUUAUGUAUUAAUUUGAUUACCACCAUUUUUUAUGAUAUCAUUAAACACAGAAUCCAGGAAAAAAUAAUACAGACAACAACACGGUUGUCCAUUUCAUAAAAAAGAACAUUGCACAUGACACUAUUGUUGUUAACGUUGUAAUAAAUUAUUACAAUAAAUUAUAUUAAAUAUGUUUCAUGAAUUCAAAUGAUUAGCAAAUUUGAAAAUUAAAUCUGAAAUGAUCUGAAAAUCACAUUAAAAUGAUUUUGAUGUGUAAUGAACAGAUGAACAAUUCAGAUCUCAUCCGCAUAAUCUUUAAUUUGGCCUCAAAAAAUAAUAUAACUGAUUGGCAAAUGAAAAAAAAAAAUUUUUUUAAUUAAAGCUACUCAACACGGUUUCUCUGAAAGAUCAAGCUGAUUGUGGUCCUGAAAACACAUCAGUUCUGUUUUCCAAGCAAUACGAAGACUUGUUCUGAAUGCUUUUCGUAGAAAGCUGAAAUGUUUCUAACACACGUUGUUUCCUCUUUCAGAUCUUCAUUCGCUGCCUUUCGUCAGCGAGCCGCCAGAAGGCCGAUAGCCAAACGCUAACAUUUGAUUGAAUUAUCCCUCAACAUGAUGUGGCAGUAAACUGUUAUUCCUCCAUCUUACCAGCCCUCUGCUGUCUCGCCCCUGAGCGACGACUUUCAUCCUCUCUCAUAUCUCUGCUGUCAUAGACAUACUGGCACUCGUCUGCCGCCGCGAUGGCUUCGGCCUUUUGCUCAUUUAAGGCUCUGUAUUCCCGACAGGCUGUCUGAUUCCUGAGGGGAGGCCUGUGGAGGACGCUCUGUUAAAUGUACGGCCGUAUAUAAAUAUAUAUGAACGUGCGGUUCUCUCAGAUUGAAAACAUAUACCUGCGACGAUUGCCUGCUAUGAAGUUCAUUCCAGCGGUAAUGCUGUUUUUCCCCCCAUCUCGUCAGCUCCUUCAAAGAACGCAUCCUAUUUUUCCUAUUUUAAGGCAUGAGAGAUAUAUGGAAAGGAACAGGGUAAAUAUUUGAGAGUAUCGCAGCCUCAUUUCUUGGAUUAAUUCAGUUGGUUUUCUUCGACUGGCUUCUCCACUGGAAAAUCCAUUCUAGUCCAAGCAACUCGAGGAGAGAAUGCUUUCUCACUCAUGUUUAGGUUGCAAAUGCAUUUUAGGAAUUGAGAACAAUGCACGCUGCUUGUUCAACAUGAUUUCUGCGACGAUGAGUUGCAAUGAGAAAUAUAUUAUCAGGACCCAUGCAGGCAUGUCCGAGUUCAGAAAACAGCUGUAACACUAACAAAAACAACCAUCAAAAUGCACCAAAAGCUCAUUUAUGAAAAUCCCACAAGCUGCUUAAACUACAAGAUCUUCAUUCCCCUUGUGUCAUCAGCGAGUCGCCAGGAGGCCGCUACACAACCGCUAACGUUUGAUUGAACAGCUAUAACAUCCAUCCAUAACCAUCAGACAUCAGGCUUGUGUCUGCAACAAAAGUUGUAUAAUGACGAAAAUCCCUCAAGCAUCUUACUCUACAAGGCUGCAGGUGUUCCCUGACCAUCAGUGUGUGUGAAGUGACCUGUGGGUGUGUUUUUGCUGUGCCGAGUGUCCUGCAGCAUUUCCAUCAGGCCGGCAAUGAGAGGACCAUGUCACUACAAGCUCCUCAAUCUACGGCUGUUACAGAAAUCAAUACUGCCUGACACACACACACACACACACACACACACAUUCAGGAGAACAUCUCUAUUGCUCUACAAAUAUAAAGAUGUCUACAGAAGUCAAAACAUUAACAAUUAUCUUAAUUUGAGCUUUAGGUUUAAUUAAAAAUGAACGAUAUUCCUUGGCAUCUAUUGUUUUUUAUGUACAGCUAGUUAUAAAUACAGUAACGUAACCCCAUCAGAAAACCUUCUGCAGGUUUACUUUUUUUGUUUUUUUUCCAAUCAUUGAUUUUGUAGCUCAAUUCUGGGUACAGAUUUAUUGUCAAAGUAUGGUUAAGUAGGUACUUACACACACAUACAAACAGAUCAGUGGUAAGUAGUCACUUAUGUGUAUAAUAGUUUCGCAUAUAAUGCAUUUUUGUAAUUAAAGUUUUUAUUUUACUCAAGCUUAUAGACUGAUACUACAGCGGAUUUCGCGCUUCUCAAUUCAGCCAAUCAGUGUGUAGAUUACGUGGCCAUCUGAUCACAUGAUCAUUCGGUAAGAGUUCCUCAGAGUCCACGGCUGCAUCACACUUUAAAUACAAUGUGAAGUAAGAAUUAAUGCAUUCCAAGCCAUAAUAUGUUUAAAACAGUAUGCUGCUAAAAUAAUAGGCUACAUCUGAAAUGAAAGUAAUUAUAAAAAUAAAAUAAUUAUUCACUUUAGCGAUAUUUAUUUUACAUUUAU
Cyprinus carpio (common carp) is the source of this 2939-nucleotide long non-coding RNA. RefSeq lists it as uncharacterized. The transcript is spliced from 4 exons. The record is from RefSeq and is a predicted model, not a curated record. Lineage: Eukaryota; Metazoa; Chordata; Actinopteri; Cypriniformes; Cyprinidae.